Molecule: ribosomal RNA, 302 nt
Filed under: uncultured Glomeromycotina
Lineage: Eukaryota; Fungi; Glomeromycota
Description: SSU rRNA
Rfam family: Eukaryotic small subunit ribosomal RNA
Source: RNAcentral
AGCAGCCGCGGUAAUUCCAGCUCCAAUAGCGUAUAUUAAAGUUGUUGCAGUUAAAAAGCUCGUAGUUGAAUUUCGGGAUCAAUUUAUCGGUCGUGCCAAUGGUAUGAACUGGUACAAUUAGUUUCUCCCUUCUGACGAAGCAUGAUGUCAUUAAUUUGGUGUCGUGGGGAAUCAGGACUGUUACUUUGAAAAAUUAGAGUGUUUAAAGCAAGCAUUAGCUUGAAUACAUUAGCAUGGAAUAAUGAAAUAGGACGUUUGAUCCUAUUUCGUUGGUUUCUAGGAUCGACGUAAUGAUUAAUAGG